GGUAAGACGUCAGUUACUUAUAAGCUGAAAAUGACAAACUCUGUUCACCUACUGCAAUGUAAGCUGCUGUUACAGAAAUGGACUUGACUUAUGUCAUACAUAAAUAUCUUCAUCAUAAAUGACUAAACAGAAGACUGAAAUCACAGCCUUUGGGGGAAAAAUUACCAGCCAUACAAGUGUGAGCCAAAUUUGUUGCUGUGUGAACCGAUUAUAUACAGCAGAUAAGGUACCGUGAUCUUCAAAAGACUGCUGGGUCAGGUGUAGACUGAACAUGAUGGAUAUUUGCAGCUUAUUCGCUUGAUGGCUUCAACACAGCUUAAAAGUUUAAAAGGCACUAAAUGUAUCGACAAGGACUCUAAGAAAGCACCGACAAUGAGUUGCAAAUGCACAAAAUCAUACAAAGUGAAUACAGCGACAACUUUGAGGAAGUCCAGAUGUGUACAGACAGUAACAGCUAGAAAAUGGUGUAGAGUAGGAAAACUACAACCCCGAAGAUGAUACUCUGCACGUAUAGAAAUGGGACGAACAUAGCUCAACAUACCACAUGACUUGCACAUGAUUUUCUGAAUCUUAUUUGCUCUAAUUACAAAUCAUACGAGGUAUUGAAAAGCAAUAUUCAAAAUAAUCGUUUGUUACUUUACAGGACCUCUGACGCUGAAGGUUGAUUGAUGCGUUGGGUACACGCUUGAUUUCGAAAGGGCCAUCAGCAUGAUAAUACAAGAAGCAACGCAUGUAGCAUUGUUUAGUAUAAUUAUCAGACUGAUCCUUGAAAAAGUCAUUGUUGUAUUUGAACCGGCUCAGCACCUCCUAGAUAGGUUAAAAAGAAAUUU
Neodiprion fabricii is the source of this 830-nucleotide long non-coding RNA. RefSeq lists it as uncharacterized. The record is from RefSeq and is a predicted model, not a curated record. Lineage: Eukaryota; Metazoa; Arthropoda; Insecta; Hymenoptera; Diprionidae. The transcript is spliced from 2 exons.